GUUUAACAGAUGUUUCGCUAUUAAAAUAUUCCCCCCCAAGGCUCAAAUAUUGAAGAGUCUUCAACCAGGGACACCGGCCACAACGAAGACCUCGGGCGAUUUCCAAGUGGAGGCAUCUGAUUGCCCGAAUCCGUGGUGUGGCCAGCAUCGGUGCGCCCCUGAUUUCACUGGCCUGUUUGAAGGUGGACAUCAUUCACCGGAUGUAGAACCAAAAUCAACCCCCCCCUCCCCAGGGGUCUUCGCUUUCCCAGUCUCCAUUUGCCUGUAACUCCAGAAA
Molecule: long non-coding RNA, 277 nt
Organism: Otolemur garnettii (small-eared galago)
Lineage: Eukaryota; Metazoa; Chordata; Mammalia; Primates; Galagidae
Exons: 3
Source: RefSeq, a predicted model, not a curated record